CUCCUGCCUGGUUUCCCAUAUGCAAAUUCCUAUAGCCUAUGAGUACAGUCUAUGAGUGCAGACCUACGUGUACCAGAUGCUAGACUGCGUCUCUUCUUUAGAGGAUUUAUUUUUAAGAGCCAAUCACGAUAAAGAGAAAUCUGACAAGCCACAGGAGAGGACGAAGAGGGUAUAAAAGGCAGGUUGGAUGAAGGAGGCUCUACCUUUGAGGCAAGAUGGCCAAGCUCACCCUCCUCACUGGUAAGGAAGAGCCUCUCCUCUGGGGCU
This 267-nucleotide long non-coding RNA is filed under the name Dasypus novemcinctus (nine-banded armadillo). Its description in RNAcentral is "lncRNA (ENSDNOG00000051508.1)". The record is from RNAcentral. Lineage: Eukaryota; Metazoa; Chordata; Mammalia; Cingulata; Dasypodidae.